This 448-nucleotide ribosomal RNA is filed under the name uncultured bacterium. RNAcentral describes it as "bacterial SSU rRNA". It matches the Rfam family "Bacterial small subunit ribosomal RNA", at positions 329 to 794 of the family's 1533-position model. The record is from RNAcentral.
UUCCAUACUCCUACUUUAUUCAUCAGUUUUUAAUAUUUCACAAUUUUUUAAACCCUGAUGCAUCUACUCCUCUUUAGUUAGGAAUUAUUUCUGUAUUUAAAUCUCUAUCAGCAUGGAAUAAAAUUACUGUACCUUACUAAGAAGCCCCGGCUAACUACGUGCCAGCAUCCGCGUUAAUACGUAGUGGGCAAGCGUUAUCCGGAUUUACUGGGUGUAAAGGGAGAGUAGACGGCUAAUCAAGUCAGAAGUGAAAAACCAGGGCUCAAACUUGGGAGUGAUUUUGAAAAUGAGUAGAUAGAGUGAAGGAGAGGUAAGAGGAAUUAAUAGUGUAGAGGUGAAAUGAGUAGAUAUUAGGAGGAAAAACAGUGGAGAAGGAGGAUUAAUGGAAUGUAACUGAAGUUGAGGAUAGAAAGAGUGGGGAGAAAAAAGGAUUAGAUAAAAAUGUAAA